UACGUAGGGGGCUAGCGUUGUCCGGAAUCAUUGGGCGUAAAGCGCGUGUAGGCGGCCCGGUAAGUCCGCUGUGAAAGUCGGGGGCUCAACCCUCGGAUGCCGGUGGAUACUGUCGGGCUCGAGUACGGAAGAGGCGAGUGGAAUUCCUGGUGUAGCGGUGAAAUGCGCAGAUAUCAGGAGGAACACCAAUUGCGAAGGCAGCUCGCUGGGACGUAACUGACGCUGAGACGCGAAAGCGUGGGGAGCAAACAGG
Molecule: ribosomal RNA, 253 nt
Filed under: uncultured bacterium
Lineage: Bacteria
Description: partial 16S ribosomal RNA
Rfam family: Bacterial small subunit ribosomal RNA
Source: RNAcentral